GGCGAGGGCUAAACGGGCGGAAUGAACUGGGAGUAAGAUGCUGCCGAGUCCGGGCGAAAAGCAACGCAUGCUGUUGGACAGGAUACGAGCUUGAAGUCUGGACGGAUCUGGCUGAGAAGAUAACAGGGCCACUGGAAGAAGCCCUGGCAGUGGCUUUCUCGCAGGUGCUCACCAUCGCGGCCACGGAACCGGUCACCCUCCUGCACUCCAAGCCCCCCAAGCCCACGCAGGCCCGUGGAAAGCCUUUGCUCCUGAGCGCCCCUGGAGGACAGGAAGACCCCGCCCCUGAAAUACCUAGCUCUGCCCCUGCUGCACCUAGCUCCGCAC
This 327-nucleotide long non-coding RNA is filed under the name Homo sapiens (human). Its description in RNAcentral is "HSALNT0255285". The record is from RNAcentral. Lineage: Eukaryota; Metazoa; Chordata; Mammalia; Primates; Hominidae.